ACGCGCCCGGGGCGGCGGCAGCGGCGGCGGCGGCGGCAGCGGGGAAGCCGGGGCUGGCUAGCAGUGCCCUUUUGUCCAUGGAGGCUGCAGCGGCGGCGGCGACGACUGUCGCCCCCUCCCCACCCCCGGCGGUCACCAGUCCGAGUUUCCAAGUCUCUCCUUCUCUCCUCCCCGCCCGGCGCUUCCGAGCCCCUUCUCUCUCUUUUUUAUUUUUCGGCACCGCACGGGCCCCGGGGGCCAAAAAUAAUCGGGGAUCUGGAGAGAGGAGGGUCCCGGCCGCACGGAUAUCGGGCCCCAAAGAGGGAUGGAGGCGUCGGGGGCGGCCGAUGCAACGGAUUGCGAGUCGGCAGCGGCAGCCCGGGUGCUGCGGCCGGCAGCUGAAAAAUGGCUCCAGGAAGCUGCUGCUGACAAUGAAUGAAGGGAUACGGUUUACGCGCCAAGGUCCUCCCGCGAAACUCAGAUUUCCCGCCGGCUUUUCAAAUGAUAUUUGCAUAUCCCCGCCCCUCAACCCGCGGAGGACCGUUCCCACAGCUCAUUGGGUCUCUAUCUCCUUACUUCAAUCCCAAUCGUUGAGCGGGACCGAGACUUGAUGGUUUCCAUUGGCUGCCAUGCAUCAUGGUUACCGGGGCGACAGGGGUCCUAUUUGCAUAGCCCUCCUUGAUUGGCUGGAAUUUUAGGGGGUGGGGCCAAGCCAUUUUCUCCCACGGAAGACCACGCCUGGUAUAGGCUCCGCCCAGGUGCCCGCCCACCAGCCAGGCGGGCGCUGCUGACCUGGGCAGGGACUCCGCUCCUUGCCGACUCAGUGUCGGUCUAUUCUAGAGCGCAAGUUUCGCUUUUGGAAAUUGUCAAGGUGACCAAGGGGACACCUUCGGGAACGCUCUUUCCUUUGACUAGUCAGUGUAGGAGAUGAACAACUGGAGAUUCUCCUAUGUGACUAAGGCAAGUUGAACUAUGCGGACGAUGCCUGGCAGGUGGAAACUGAGCCCUUUAAAUCAUGGGUUUCUCCCUUCCUGAAAUCCAACCAAUGCCGCGGCGAGAGCUGAUCCGGAGGCCGACGCUGAUAGACAGAAGCAUGUGGGCAGAUAGAAUUGUGAGGACAGAGGGUUGGACUGACCUGAAAGCGAGCACUAUUUAGUUAACAUUCCAGAUCAUUCCUGGUAGCUUCAUUAUAGGCCUGGAUUGGUUUUAAGUAAAAAUUAACUCUAAAUGUUUUGUUGAGUGAAAUCUCAUAAGUGUUGGUCCGAGUCUAGCAAACACCUCACACUGGCCCAAAAGCACCUAGGUAAGUUAAUCAAGGCUAACCUAAGAUUCAUCUGCGGGUUUCUAAUCAGCCAAGCAGUAACCCAGAGAAGUACACGCUUCCCUCCGUGAUGUUUUGCUCCCAACCAGUUCUGCUGCAACAGCCCUUUACAAUCUGUUUCAUAGCAAGUUACCUGCCAAAGCAAACGCGACGACCCAAACUUAUUCCAAGAUAUUUAAAUAGAGCUUUUUUUUAGUAAACUAGGAAUUGUCACCAAAAAAAAAUAUUAAGUUAUUGUCAAAUUGACAUCUAUAUUGGUGCAAGUAUUCGUGGUUCUUAAAAUUGAAGACUGCACCUGUGAGACUGAGCAGGAACUUCUGCAGGAAUGUGGGGGAGAGGUGUACUUGUCAGGUCAUCAUAUACAAUUCCAGUCGCUGAGAAUUGUACAAAAUAUCUGCUGAGUUGGUGUUUACUGGGUGAUGAGGAUUACAAUACCUCAAGCCCCUUCCCAAGACUUUAUUUUUAUUAUCAUUAUUAAUAAUAAUUCCUGAACACUCAUAUAUACUCAGUCUUAUGCAAGGCCUGAAAAGAUGUAUCAAUUCAGGCUCAGGACUGAAUUGGGACUGAAACUCCUAAUGUUUCAGUCCUGUUACUUUGUUGGAAACAAAAUGAGCUAUUAAAUCUUGCACCAGGCAGAAUAUGUUGGUCCUGCACUCAAGCUAGUUAAGGAUCCAUGGCCUAGUACUCAAAUAUCUAUGGACCCAAACAUUUAUAAUAGAACUGGCACCAAUUUUAGGACAUAUUUAUUAGGUGGUACAUCAAUUCCUGGUUGGGUUAGAGGCUAAUGCAUUAGCAACUUCCUUGAUAUUGUUCUAUCAGUGUUGUUUUCCACUGUGGGUCACCGUGGAGAAAACUAAUGCUGUAACUACUUAGCUAUUACCUGCUGCAGAACAUCGCUGGUAGCAUGCAUUUGGUGGUGGUGAGGGUUGUGGGUGAAGGGUGCUGCAGCAUAGUCAUUAUAAACCUGUGUCUUCAGAUUAGAGGCAAACCUAGGAUUUGGGACUGUGUACAAGAUCCCUGCUAGAACUUGCACAAGUGAUUGCAAUAAGAUGACUGACACAGCCACAGAGAAGCAAGUGUUCACAGUCCAGAUCCAUACCUUUGAUUCUGAUUUAAAAAGCUUUGAAAUAUGUACCAUCUUUCCUUAGCCAACAUUAUAUUUUUUAAUAUAGGGUAUUUGGCAGAGAAACAGAUAUUUUGACCUUUUAUGUCUAGUGACCCCAGACUGAGGAGGUGGAAGGAAGAGUUCAAAGAGAGAAGAGGUAUUGGAAGAUGAGAUGCUAAAAUUUGAGGUAAGAAUCUCAAAAUGAGAUUAUCCUGGAUUAGAGUGGGCUCAAAAUCCAAUAUCGUUUAUUUUAUAAGAGAAGAGGAGAGAAGAUUCUGAGAAGAAAUCAUGUGAAAACAGGCAGAGACUGAAGUUAUGUGUCUACAAACCAAGAAACACUAAAGAUUGCCUGCAGCCACCAGAAAUAGGAGAAAGAUGGAAUAGAUUUUCCCUGAGAGCCUGCGGAAGGAACCAGUCCUGCUGACAUCCUAAUUUCGAACUUUUGGGCAACUCCAGAAAUGAGAGAGAAUAAAUUUCUGUUGUUUUAAGCCACCAA
Molecule: long non-coding RNA, 2901 nt
Organism: Pteropus alecto (black flying fox)
Lineage: Eukaryota; Metazoa; Chordata; Mammalia; Chiroptera; Pteropodidae
Exons: 3
Source: RefSeq, a predicted model, not a curated record